Molecule: ribosomal RNA, 794 nt
Filed under: uncultured archaeon
Lineage: Archaea
Description: bacterial SSU rRNA
Rfam family: Archaeal small subunit ribosomal RNA
Source: RNAcentral
ACAGCUCAGUAACACGUGGACAACCUACCCAAAGGUCUGGGAUAACUCCGGGAAACUGGGGAUAAUACCGGAUAGGUCAAGAGUACUGGAAGGGUUUUUUGAUUGAAAGCUCUGGCGCCUUUGGAUGGGUCCGCGGCUGAUUAGGUUGACGCCGGUGUAAAGUACCGGCGUGCCGAUUAUCAGUACGGGUUGUGGGAGCAAGAGCCCGGAGAUGGAUUCUGAGACACGAAUCCAGGCCCUACGGGGCGCAGCAGGCGCGAAAACUCUACAAUGCAGGCAACUGCGAUAGGGGAACAUCGAGUGGCAUCUACAUUAGGUGUCUGUCCAGCUGUCUAAAAAACGGCUGUUAGCAAGGGCCGGGCAAGACCGGUGCCAGCCGCCGCGGUAAUACCGGCGGCUCGAGUGGUGGCCGAUAUUAUUGAGUCUAAAGGGUCCGUAGCCGGCUUUGCAAGUCUUGUGGGAAAUCCAGCGGCUUAACCGUUGGGCGUCUGCGGGAUACUACAUUGCUUGGGACUGGGAGAGGUAGGAGGUACUCAGGGGGUAGGAGUGAAAUCCUGUAAUCCUCUGGGGACCACCGGUGGCGAAGGCGUCCUACCAGAACAGGUCCGACGGUGAGGGACGAAAGCUAGGGGCACGAACCGGAUUAGAUACCCGGGUAGUCCUAGCCGUAAACGAUGCCCGCUAGGUGUCACGGCAGUCGUGAACUGCCGUGGUGCCGUAGGGAAGCCGUGAAGCGGGCCACUUGGGAAGUACGACCGCAAGGUUGAAACUUAAAGGAAUUGGCGGGGGAGCAC